Long non-coding RNA from Gasterosteus aculeatus aculeatus (three-spined stickleback), 1361 nucleotides. Lineage: Eukaryota; Metazoa; Chordata; Actinopteri; Perciformes; Gasterosteidae. The record is from Ensembl.
CAAGCAGAUGUCUGCGGGCCGGGCCCGCCACGUAAUGACAAAGGAUUAAAUCGCCUGAUUCCCACACGGACGGCCCAGUGUGUUUGUCUACCCUCUUUAGCCACAAUUUAUGGACUCUGCAGGGCUGAGAGAGAUCAACCAGAGGAGCAUAAGCCUCAGAGGAAUAAAGAUGUGUCCUAAUCGGGGGAUAAUGUAGCUGGCUGGAAAAAAAUAAGAGAGAGCGGAGCGGCAGGGCAACAAUUAGAGGAGCGCUCUCUCUCUCUCUCUCUCUCUCUCUCUCUCUCUCUCUCUCUCUCUCUCUCCGGCUGGUGAACAGGAGGCCCGCUCGCUGCUUUGGUUCGGUCGGGCUCGCUCGGCCCACAGUGUAAUAAUCAACUGGCACGCUGCCUCACUGUAAGACAGAGCUCAGAGUUGAGAGCGGGACACGUUCUCUCUCUCUCUCUCUCUCUCUCUCUCUCCCUCUCGCUCCACCCCCGAUGCCCACUGCUGGGAAAAAAGGUACUUUGAAAUCCACGAGAGAGCCACGUUUUCUCUCAGCCCGUUUACAGGGUCGUGACCUGGUCGGCCGGUUUCUAUUCAUAACCUGCCGAUGCAUAAAUCUUGUGCGCGCACCGCGGUGCGCCUUAUUUGUCCAAAACAAUCCCUUUCUGUGUUUGCAGUAAACGGCGGCACUCACCUGUGGCUGCAGUGGCGUUGGCAGCCGUCCAGAGGCGUGCCUGCGUGCGUGCAUGCGUGUGUGUUUGUGCGACUGAGUGUACAAAAGACAGAGACAGGGCCGGUCAGGCGCCUGUGCGCCGGUUUGCCUAUUUCCACACAGUCUGGGGCCCCCAGAGGAGGAUUUGCAGGCCAGAUAGGAUUAGGCUCCCUCUCUUUGCACAACAGCGACGGGGAUAAGGAGUCCGCGGAGCUCAGGCGCACUCCAAAGCCCCAUUAAUACACAGCAGCAGAUGAGUACCUCAAACAGCUGAGCCCACUCGGCCCAUGUUUGGUUAUCAAUGCUGCGCCCGCUGGUCAAUUACGCCGGCAAACCCGGCGAUUCCCCGUGGAAAAUUCACAGAAUGCCCCAAUUAUCGGGGACAUCUUCCCCGUCGGUGAGCCGCGGCUGCUUUUUCAUCAGUGGCAUUUCAGCAGGCUCGAGAAAUCCUUCCGUACCUGUAAUCCUGGUCGUGACGUCAUCACGGCGCUUGAUGCGUGUGGGGAGGAAACUGUCAUCUGACAGAAUUGGUUGAUUUAAUCACGAUAAAAUGCUUUACAGUACCACGUGUCGUUGUAUCUGACCAUUAGUCGCCCAUUCACGCGCGUCAAUCCCGCCGCAUUCCGAUCAUUCCUUUCACUUUUCACAGUUUAAUUACUUCCUAUAC